Molecule: long non-coding RNA, 913 nt
Organism: Lactuca sativa (garden lettuce)
Lineage: Eukaryota; Viridiplantae; Streptophyta; Magnoliopsida; Asterales; Asteraceae
Source: RefSeq, a predicted model, not a curated record
CCCGAGUCGGGUUACUCGUCUCCAAUAUUCACGAAAAUGGUUUAUCAGAAAGGGGUCUGGUAUGUCUACCCUAAUUUCGUUUUACAUAUGUAAUUGGAAGAAGGUAAGAGGCAUGAGAGAACAGAUUUAGAUACCGUUCGAAGAAUCUGUUACGAAUUUCUUGAAUAGGAUAGAUCGAAUAUGUUAAUUUCGGUGUCGGUGGAGUACUGUGAAUAACCCUUUAAGCCGUAUGACAAAAAGAAACGGGCACAGUUGAGUUGGUGGAUUCAAAUUAUGAUUUGCUGGAGCUUAUGAUUGAGAAUAGUGAGGAACGGAGCAUUUUCGAUCAAUGGUGACAGUUUAUCGAAGAGAAAGGGCACGCGCGGCCUCGUCAGUCAUGAAGAUUGUUGCUGAGUCUGUGAUAUCCGUUAAAUUGCCGAAACCUUGUAACUGUCAAUAUAAAUGUUGUUAUGCACAUACUGUUACUGAUAAUAAAUAAUAUAGUAUCGUUUGGAGCAGUGCGUACAGAAGCUUGGGAUCAUUGACAGUUCCGUGUUUUAUGCAGAACCAAUCGUUGCCCUUUUUAUUUGUUGACUUUCCACAUGUAUUGCAGGUAACAUGAAACCAACAAUCUUUAAAGACAAAGUCGGAUAUUGUAGCCUUUAUAACAAAUUUUUUAUCCUGAUGUAUUUUUUGGAUACUCAGUAAUAGUUAUUACAAGUAGAAUCAUGAAGUUACAUUUGUGUAUGAUUUUUUACCACAAUUUGAGAGUAGUCUGAGGCUUUUAACUGUUGUAAGGUUAUUGUUACUGGUGAUGGAGAUGGUAUUGAGUGAAAUUGGUUGCCAAACCUGAUGAUGUGUAAAUGUAUGUAAUAAGAACUCAAUAUGUUGUAUCUGUUUGUGACUAUGAAUCCAAAUUGAAAUUUUAGUUUUA